Molecule: ribosomal RNA, 460 nt
Filed under: uncultured bacterium
Lineage: Bacteria
Description: partial 16S ribosomal RNA
Rfam family: Bacterial small subunit ribosomal RNA
Source: RNAcentral
CCUACGGGUGACAGCAGUGAGGAAUAUUGGUCAAUGGGCGGAAGCCUGAACCAGCCAAGUCGCGUGAGGGAUUAAGGCCCUGCGGGUCGUAAACCUCUUUUGCCGGGGAGCAGAGGUCCGGACGUGUCCGGGCCGGGAGAGUACCCGGAGAAAAAGCAUCGGCCAACGCCGUGCCAGCAGCCGCGGUAAUACGGGGGAUGCGAGCGUUAUCCGGAUUUAUUGGGUUUAAAGGGUGCGUAGGCGGGCAUUUAAGCCGGCGGUCAAAUGUCGGGGCUCAACCCCGGCCUGCCGUCGGAACUGGGUGCCUUGAGUGGGCGAGAAGUAUGCGGAAUGCGUGGUGUAGCGGUGAAAUGCAUAGAUAUCGCGCAGAACCCCGAUUGCGAAGGCAGCAUACCGGCGCCCUACUGACGCUGAGGCACGAAAGUGCGGGUAUCGAACAGGAUUAGAUACCCGGGUAGUC